RNAcentral lists this transfer RNA (77 nucleotides) under Tenacibaculum soleae. RNAcentral's name for it is "tRNA-Met". It matches the Rfam family "tRNA". From Rfam's summary of the family: Transfer RNA (tRNA) molecules are approximately 80 nucleotides in length. Lineage: Bacteria; Pseudomonadati; Bacteroidota; Flavobacteriia; Flavobacteriales; Flavobacteriaceae. The record is from RNAcentral. RNAcentral also lists the same sequence under 1 other name.
GGCGAGGUAGCUCAGUUGGUUAGAGCGCAGGAUUCAUAACCCUGAGGUCGGCAGUUCAAAUCUGCUCUUCGCUACAA